This is a non-coding RNA of Pelobates cultripes (western spadefoot toad), 220 nucleotides long. The record is from the annotation of a GenBank genome assembly. NCBI's taxonomy places the organism in Eukaryota, Metazoa, Chordata, Amphibia, Anura, Pelobatidae.
GGAAUUCUCGAAAAGAAGUUCUUGACUUUUCUGUUGUUGCUUGUAGCCAUUAGAUCUAUCUGGGGAAGGCCCCAUUUUUCUACGAUCUGUAGAAAUAUUAUGUCUGAUAGACUCCAUUCUCCCGGGUCUAAUCUCACCCUUCUGAGAAAGUCUGCCACAGAGUUCUGAGUUCCUGGGAGAUGUAUUGCAGAGAUAUUCUCCAAAUUAAAUUGGGCCCAGG